CUACGGGUGGCUGCAGUGGGGAAUAUUGGACAAUGGGGGAAACCCUGAUCCAGCGAUGCCGCGUGAGUGACGAAGGCCUUCGGGUUGUAAAACUCUUUUAACUGGGAAGAUUAUGACGGUACCAGUGGAAUAAGCACCGGCUAACUUCGUGCCAGCAGCCGCGGUAAUACGAAGGGUGCAAGCGUUGUUCGGAAUAACUGGGCGUAAAGAGCGUGUAGGUGGUUUGGAAAGUGAGAUGUGAAAUCCCUGGGCUUAACCUAGGAAUGGCAUUUCAUACUAUCAGACUAAGUGUGCGAGAGGGGAAAAUGGAAUGGCGAGUGGAGCAGUGACAUGCGUUGAUAUUCGUUGGAACAUCAGAGGCGAAGGCGAUUUUCUGGCUCGUAACAGACACUGAGGCGCGAAAGCGUGGGGAGCAAACAGGAUUAGAUACCCUCGUAGUC
This 440-nucleotide ribosomal RNA is filed under the name uncultured bacterium. Its description in RNAcentral is "partial 16S ribosomal RNA". It matches the Rfam family "Bacterial small subunit ribosomal RNA", at positions 339 to 795 of the family's 1533-position model. The record is from RNAcentral.